UACGUAGGGUGCAAGCAUUAAUCGGAUUUAUUGGGCGUAAAGGGCGCGUAGGCGGGAAAGUCAGUCAGAUGUGAAAUCCCGGAGCUCAACUCCGGAACAGCAUUUGAAACUUCUUUUCUAGAGGGUAGGCGGAGAAAACGGAAUUCCACAAGUAGCGGUGAAAUGCGUAGAUAUGUGGAAGAACACCAGUGGCGAAGGCGGUUUUCUAGCUUACACCUGACGCUGAGGCGCGAAAGCAAGGGGAGCAAAC
Molecule: ribosomal RNA, 250 nt
Filed under: uncultured bacterium
Lineage: Bacteria
Description: partial 16S ribosomal RNA
Rfam family: Bacterial small subunit ribosomal RNA
Source: RNAcentral